RNAcentral lists this unclassified non-coding RNA (433 nucleotides) under soil metagenome. RNAcentral's name for it is "partial contains 5.8S ribosomal RNA, internal transcribed spacer 2, and large subunit ribosomal RNA". The stretch from base 1 to 120 matches the Rfam family "5.8S ribosomal RNA", at positions 35 to 154 of the family's 154-position model. The record is from RNAcentral.
GAUGAAGAACGCAGCGAAAUGCGAUACGUAAUGUGAAUUGCAGAAUUCAGUGAAUCAUCGAAUCUUUGAACGCAUAUUGCGCUCUCUGGUAUUCCGGAGAGCAUGCUUGUUUGAGUAUCAGUAAACACCUCAACUCCCCUUUCUUUUUUUGAAAUGGGAGCUGGACUUGAGUGAUCCCAACGCUUUUCUCACCGAAAAGUGGCGGGUUACUUGAAAUGCAGGUGCAGCUGGACUUUUCUCUGAGCUAAAAGCAUAUCUAUUUAGUCUGCCUAAAAAACAGAUUAUUACCUUUGCUGCAGCUAACAUAAAGGAGAUUAGUUCUUGUGCUGACUGAUGCAGGAUUCACAGAGACAGCUUCGGCUGGCCUUUGUAAACUCGAUCUCAAAUCAAGUAAGACUACCCGCUGAACUUAAUCAUAUCAAUAAGCGGAGGA